Molecule: long non-coding RNA, 316 nt
Organism: Trichosurus vulpecula (common brushtail)
Lineage: Eukaryota; Metazoa; Chordata; Mammalia; Diprotodontia; Phalangeridae
Exons: 3
Source: RefSeq, a predicted model, not a curated record
CACCUGGAAGUUGACGCACAUUCACCCACUCAGCAAAGGAAAACAGCAUAAAAGGUAGCCAGAGGUGCGGGCGCAGGAUUGAGCCUCGUAUGGGAUCUGCAGUGAGCACCAACAACAACUGCUAAUCAAGCACCACCAACAGGCAGAUGGAUACAAGAGCCCUGGCAGAGGCAGCCCUCCUCAGGUUACUGGGUCUGCUUCCAGUCUAGCGCUCACAACCAUCAUCUGGGGAAGCACCUCCUGCGGAGAAGGGAACAGCUACUGCCCCUCACAAGACAGGACCUUUCCUUCUGACUUGAAGCUGAAACCUCCCCAC